Molecule: long non-coding RNA, 207 nt
Filed under: Hordeum vulgare
Lineage: Eukaryota; Viridiplantae; Streptophyta; Magnoliopsida; Poales; Poaceae
Description: long non-coding RNA (HVUL_LNC008475)
Source: RNAcentral
UUUAAGAAAAGGUAAUAACUACUCAUAUUAUUAUGACUGUUGAUUACAUUCAAUACAAAUCCUAUUCAGCAAUUUAAAUCUCAGUGAAUGUGAUACUUCACUACACAUGCGGUCAGAUUUUUCGGAGUUCCCCUCUCAGGUAUGAAUUCGAUUGGAUCGGACUACCAAAAAAAUAUUUUACUUGCAGUUCCCAUCGUUGCAGGUAUU